GGAUGCCAUGAUACCAGCACUAAAGCACCGGAUCCCAUCAAAACUCCGAAGUUAAGCGUGCUUGGGCGAGAGUAGUACUAGGAUGGGUGACCUCCUGGGAAGUCCUCGUGUUGCAUUCC
RNAcentral lists this ribosomal RNA (119 nucleotides) under Triticum aestivum (bread wheat). The record is from RNAcentral. Lineage: Eukaryota; Viridiplantae; Streptophyta; Magnoliopsida; Poales; Poaceae.